CGCCGAGUGACUGAAAGCAAGUGUUGGUCUCUUAAAUCAAAUUAUAGUAAACUAGCAUUUACUCUCGACG
RNAcentral lists this transfer RNA (70 nucleotides) under Neoperlops gressitti. RNAcentral describes it as "tRNA-Lys". The record is from RNAcentral. Lineage: Eukaryota; Metazoa; Arthropoda; Insecta; Plecoptera; Perlidae.